UAAAGGUCAUAGCCCUGGCUGAAAGUUGAAAGUAGGAUGAAGUGAUGCAGGAGAAAGUCAGAAGCUGUUACUGUGUGUUCCCAUCUAUUGACAGCUGCUGACAGUGACAACUUACCUCCAGCUAAGUGGGAAGAUGAGCAGCUGUUUGUAGAACCAAAGCCAGUCUUCUGCUUGGAUCUCUUCUGCCUGGAUCGUUUGGCUAUACCAUCUGUGAAAGAGGUGAAAUUCCAAGCAGAAAUCCUGGGGGAUAAGGACAGUUAAUGCUUCAUUCAAAUCACCUUAUUGAUGGGGAACAGAAAACUGAAAAGAAUUCAUCACCACGUGCCCAUCCUGGAACAACAGACACUGACCCCUUUGGAGGUGCCUGGCAUCUCUUGAAACUCUGCCUCUGGAGAAGUGAGGCCCAACUCAAGUGAGUAAGAGUUGGCACGGAGAAAAGAAUGUCUGAUUUCAGAAGGCUUAGCUUGUGUGUCCCAUUCAGUGGAACUGCCUAUAUAGGCAUAUCAGUAUGCCUGAGCGGCUGAGCACGGAGGAGAGCAACAGAACUCAGUAGGGAAUGGAGAGAAGGGAAUAGGGGAGGCCUAUGAUUCGGCAGCUUCAGUUGGUAAUCUUUGCUUCUGUUUACUAUGUGCCGAAAACAACUCCAAAUCCAAACAAUACUUUUGAAGUGAUGGGGUGCAAGCCAAGAGAAAUUGAAAGAUCUCUCUGCAGGAAAGUUCUCCCAAUGAGCCUGAAUAUCCUGAUUAACACUUGUUUUUGAAAUGUUAAUUAGUUCUACACUUAACAGCUUGUCAUUGUCUGAAAGGGCAUGGAGAAAACUUUACAAAGUUUGUAGACUGAGGAGUUUUUAACUCCUCCACACUAGGGUUUGGCAAAUUCUCCAUUGCAGGCCACUGAACCGUGAGCAUCCAAGGAUUAAUUAGCUGUGGUGAUUAGUGCAAGAACCCAAAUUACUUGUCAUCGACGCACAUUCCUGAGACAGAAAAAUAAAUAUUAUGUACAUUCUCAGUAAGAUUAGAUGUGGAAAAGUAACAUGGCCGUGUCACUAAUGUUGGAGACCUUAGGUGCUGUACUUUUUCUGAGACGUGAAUAGGUUUUGUAUGGCACUUGCAAUAUGGGAAAAUGUUUCCUGCGAUGUCUACUUUACAUGACAUAGCUUGUCUAUGCUAUUAAAUUGGUGCAUUCAGAGGAAAGCAGACAUUUUGUUCCUUAAGAGUUCAUCUUGUUGCUUUGUUCCUGACCUGAAGCUGCCUUACCCUUUGGAACACCAUAAUAGUUUCCAUAGCAACUUAUUGUGAUGUCAGAGAUCAUAGACACAAAACACAUGGAAAAUCAAAGGUUAUCCAGGCCAUUC
Ornithorhynchus anatinus (platypus) is the source of this 1354-nucleotide long non-coding RNA. RefSeq lists it as uncharacterized. The transcript has 3 exons. NCBI's taxonomy places the organism in Eukaryota, Metazoa, Chordata, Mammalia, Monotremata, Ornithorhynchidae. The record is from RefSeq and is a predicted model, not a curated record.